Small nucleolar RNA from Melanotaenia boesemani (Boeseman's rainbowfish), 318 nucleotides. Lineage: Eukaryota; Metazoa; Chordata; Actinopteri; Atheriniformes; Melanotaeniidae. The record is from RefSeq and is a predicted model, not a curated record.
GCCCAGUGAUGAGACCAAGGCGAAUAUGAGCUCACUGAAUGAGAGUAGGGUCCUUUUUGCUUUGACUGGCAGGUAAUCUUGGCAGUGCAGAGGAGGAUUCCUGCUCUGCUGUAAGGGCCUGCCGACAGCGACUGGGCUCGACCCCAAAUUAUUCCUUUAAAGUCAUAGUGGAGUAAUCCCAGGGAUGAACCUUACAGCAUGUGUGUAUGUGUGUGUGUGUUGGUGUGUGGGGAAUGUAUGUGUAAGAGGCAAAAAGUUUUUUCUACUCUCAUUUCUGUUCAGUGAGCUAUGAGCUGCUUCUUUGGUAAUCUGAGGGCC